AAAAAAACUGAUAUAAAGUACAUAUAUCAUAUCGUUUUAUUUUAUAUAUUUUUUUCCAGCGAAGAGGUCAUAGAUGAACCUUCACACAGAGAGUAUAAAUGUUUGUAAACAAAGGAUGUUUUCAUAUGGUAUUUCCAAUUAUGAAAAUAACAAUUACUUCAUGUAAUGGACUUUGUAUCAACCUUCGUCAUAUUUUUAUGAGCUACUUUCAAUAGACAACAUUUUAGAUAUAAGAAAAUCACAAACUUGCAUAGAUACAAUUGGAUAUUUUAUCGGUUUUCCCUGCGAAUUUACUUUCCUAAUCAGAUCUUUGUAACAUGCCAUACGACAGCUUUGUGGUAUACUAAUUAAGUGCUUGACUUAGCCUUUACAACUUUAUUGUGUAUUGUGUAUUGCAGACUUGCUUGAAAACUUAUAUUAAUUAUAGAUAUGAAGUUUGUGAGUGAAUUCUAUACAUUUUUGAUAUCGUAUAAACAAUGUGUACAUCCUGUAGUAUCUGAACCUAAAUGGUCGGCAGUGUUGACAUUUAUUACUUCCACUGAGCAAAGACUUUGUUCUAUUAUUAUUGUCAAAUAAGAUAAUAUAAUAAAUAUACUCUAAUACUGAUGAAUUUUAUACAAAAAAUGUAUUCAUUUUGUUUGUCUUCAUGAAAGUUCAAACACUUUUUUGCUGCUCUUAAAAAAGCAAUUACAUCGAAUCGCAGUGAAAUUUGAACACCUACUUCUGUGUAACAAAAGUUGAUUAAAUAAAUAAACUCAUCAUAGCUACCGGGAUUAAAUUUUAUUUUUACACCAGACUCGCGUUUCGUCUACACCAUGUACAAAAGACUCAUCAGCUCGAAUCCAAUAAAGUUAAAAAGGCCAUAUAAAGUACGAAGUUGAAGAGCAUUGAGGACCAAAAUUCCCGAAAGUUUGCCAAAUACAGCUAAGGUAAUCUAUUCCUGAGGUAGAAAAGCCUUAGUAUUUCGAAAGAGUUAAUUUAUAAAUAUGACCAUAUCAAUGAUAAUUCAUGUGAGCUCAUUAAUUAAACACAUUCCUUUAUGCCACUACGAGGCCUAUAUUUUUUGUCAAUACCAUACCGAUGAGGUCCCAGUGUCAUUUGUAAUACAUACAUAUUGUGGCAGUAUGAACAACAAGAGGAACAUAUUGUAUUGAACAAAUUACUAUAAAUCCAUAUAAAUAGUAGUAGCUUCCGGGGUAUUUUCUCGGGUAAAUCAUCCUCAUUUGUUUUAAAAUGUCCUGUACCAAGUCAGGAAUAUGGCCAUUGUUAUAUUAUAGUUCGUUUCUGUGUGUGUUACAUUUUAACGUUGUGUUUCUGUUGUGUGGUUUGUUUCCUCUUAU
Molecule: long non-coding RNA, 1340 nt
Filed under: Mytilus galloprovincialis (Mediterranean mussel)
Lineage: Eukaryota; Metazoa; Mollusca; Bivalvia; Mytilida; Mytilidae
Source: RNAcentral